UACGUAGGGUGCGAGCGUUGCCCGGAUUUAUUGGGCGUAAAGGGCGCGUAGGCGGCUCGGCACGUCCGUUGUGAAAUCGCCCGGCUCAACUGGGCGGGGUCAGCGGAUACGGUCGAGCUUGAGCAAGCUAGGGGGCAAUGGAAUUCCCGGUGUAGUGGUGGAAUGCGUAGAUAUCGGGAGGAACACCAGUGGCGAAGGCGGUUGCCUGGAGCUUUGCUGACGCUGAGGCGCGAAAGCGUGGGGAGCGAACAGG
RNAcentral lists this ribosomal RNA (253 nucleotides) under uncultured bacterium. RNAcentral's name for it is "partial 16S ribosomal RNA". It matches the Rfam family "Bacterial small subunit ribosomal RNA", at positions 524 to 776 of the family's 1533-position model. The record is from RNAcentral.